RNAcentral lists this ribosomal RNA (468 nucleotides) under uncultured bacterium. RNAcentral's name for it is "partial 16S ribosomal RNA". It matches the Rfam family "Bacterial small subunit ribosomal RNA", at positions 28 to 507 of the family's 1533-position model. The record is from RNAcentral.
GACGAACGCUGGCGGCGUGCUUAACACAUGCAAGUCGAACGGAAAGGCCCUGCUUUUGUGGGGUGCUCGAGUGGCGAACGGGUGAGUAACACGUGAGUAACCUGCCCUUGACUGUGGGAUAACUUCAGGAAACUGGGGCUAAUACCGGAUAGGAGCUCUUGCUGCAUGGUGGGGGUUGGAAAGUUUCGGCGGUUGGGGAUGGACUCGCGGCCUAUCAGCUUGUUGGUGGGGUAGUGGCUUACCAAGGCUUUGACGGGUAGCCGGCCUGAGAGGGUGACCGGCCACACUGGGACUGAGAUACGGCCCAGACUCCUACGGGAGGCAGCGGUGGGGAAUAUUGCACAAUGGGCGGAAGCCUGAUGCAGCAACGCCGCGUGCGGGAUGACGGCCUUCGGGUUGUAAACCGCUUUCGCCUGUGACGAAGCGUGAGUGACGGUAAUGGGUAAAGAAGCACCGGCUAACUACGUG